Molecule: long non-coding RNA, 893 nt
Organism: Sinocyclocheilus grahami
Lineage: Eukaryota; Metazoa; Chordata; Actinopteri; Cypriniformes; Cyprinidae
Exons: 2
Source: RefSeq, a predicted model, not a curated record
ACGCUAGAAUCGAUGUGAGACCAGGAACAGUCAAGUUUUCUAAUGACAUUUCACAGUCUAUAAAAAAACACAAUGUCACUGUUAACACAAAGAAAUGGUUUGAUGGUGAAAUGGUCACCUGCACCACCAGUGACACAAAUAAUAACAGAGACAUCAAGCAGACGAUCCGUUUUCAUAAAGGAGAUUAAAAGAAACCCAAGUGUUACCAUUUACAAACCUGAUAGUAUGGACAAAGAUCAUGUUUCUCAUGUGUGUGAGGUCACCAGUCCUAAACUCAGCGAUGUCUAUAUCAUGUGGAGAGUGGGUAAAGAGUCUUACAGAGAGGGCACAAACAGUGCUCCCAUCCAUCAAAAGCACUCCACGUCUGUUCUCAGCAUCCUAACAAUGACAAAAGAAGAGUAUAAUAAGCUCAGCACCACCAUCAGCUGUGCAGUCAAACAUGCCAGCAUGGACAAUAUAAGUGCUCCAUUACAAGCUUCAACAAGCCAAAGUAAACAGCCAGAACUUUCAUGUGAUUAAUGUGCAAGCAUUCCCAAACUAUCAUUGUUCAUCUGUUGUUCGGUGUUCCAGUGCUUUUGUCCUGUUGCUCUCUCGUCAGAUUAUGUAAAGUAUACCUUCAAUGUUGUUUUUUGUGCAUAUUUCUGUCUCUAUGUCUGUAUCACUUUACUGCAUGGGUCAAACAUCAAAGUCAAAUUACACUCAAGACUAUAUGUUUAAUUUGAUAUUUACUUACAUGUUGCAUGUAAGCAAAUAUGGUCACAUGAAAACAUUGUCAGAACAAUAUCAUAGAGCUUCUUUAUGUUUUGUUCCAUGCUUACUGUACUGCUGUUAGCCUAUAAUAUAACAUGCCAUUUUUGUGUUGUUUUACAAGCAAUAAAUAUUUGUUUGCAUGA